CGGAAAGGUCUUCCAUAUAGUAUGUAACCCGGUAGAUACUCUUCUUCGUGGUUCUAAAAUUGAUAAUUACAUUAGGCGGGACGAAUGAGCGUCUUACUAUUGUUCUUCAAGGAAGGAAAUCAGAACGAAAUUAAGUAAACAGAGAUGGUAGCUAGCGAGGCUGAAGUAAAGUAAGUCGAAUAACGUUAGUAGUCAAGAAGCUGAGUGAAGUUGGCCAAAAGUGCAUUGAGAUACAAAUACACUAAACAUUUCCACUCUUUUACUGACCGCGAUGGAGCAUUGUGCUUAUGGUGUCGAUACGACGCCUGAAGUCAUUCACCUGCUGGAUGUUGACCGUGUCCAGUGAUCACUUUGUGGCCACUGACUACAAAAGGGACCGGUUGAAACCGGGUUCUGCUCCCACCGUCUUUCCGCCAUAGACGGGAAAGCUCCAACCAUUCAAGAGUGAUGGGCAUGAAGACCGUGAGGAGGACCAUGUGAUGGACCACCAGCAGGGGAUGCCGGAGGAGGAACAGCUUGAUGGUACUUGUUCCACAUUCUCUCCCCUUUCUCUCGGUCACUGUGGGAGGGACGACCGGACAGGAGAGGGUGUGUCAGUAUUCAGUUAAAGCCUCAUGCUCAUUGGUCCCACGCCUCUUGUAAACCCUCGAGGCGUCACGCCUCCACACCCACUGACUGCAUACUAUGGGACGUGCUGCAGCCCUAGCUGUACCCUACCCUCCCAGUUAACAUUCUCUUGACCAUAGUCCCAUGGUAGUUAAUGGAGAGAGAGAGAGCAGGAGAGGAGAGCAAC
This is a long non-coding RNA of Coregonus clupeaformis (lake whitefish), 793 nucleotides long. RefSeq lists it as uncharacterized. The record is from RefSeq and is a predicted model, not a curated record. The transcript is spliced from 3 exons. Lineage: Eukaryota; Metazoa; Chordata; Actinopteri; Salmoniformes; Salmonidae.